This 253-nucleotide ribosomal RNA is filed under the name uncultured bacterium. RNAcentral describes it as "partial 16S ribosomal RNA". It matches the Rfam family "Bacterial small subunit ribosomal RNA", at positions 524 to 776 of the family's 1533-position model. The record is from RNAcentral.
UACGGAGGGGGCUAGCGUUGUUCGGAAUUACUGGGCGUAAAGCGCACGUAGGCGGCUUUGUAAGUUAGAGGUGAAAGCCCGGGGCUCAACUCCGGAAUUGCCUUUAAGACUGCAUCGCUAGAAUUGUGGAGAGGUAAGUGGAAUUCCGAGUGUAGAGGUGAAAUUCGUAGAUAUUCGGAGGAACACCAGUGGCGAAGGCGGCUCACUGGACAUGUAUUGACGCUGAGGUGCGAAAGCGUGGGGAGCAAACAGG